CACCGCGGUUAUACGAGGGGCCCAAGUUAACAGAAAACGGCACAAAGGGUGGUUAAGGACAUGACAAGAACUAAAGCAAAACCCUUUCAAUGCUGUGAUACGCCCCCGAAAGUGUGAAACUCAAUUACGAAAGUAGCUUUAACAACCCUGAACCCACGAAAGCUGGGGAA
RNAcentral lists this ribosomal RNA (170 nucleotides) under Pseudorhombus pentophthalmus (fivespot flounder). RNAcentral's name for it is "partial 12S rRNA". The record is from RNAcentral. Lineage: Eukaryota; Metazoa; Chordata; Actinopteri; Pleuronectiformes; Paralichthyidae.